This 497-nucleotide ribosomal RNA is filed under the name uncultured bacterium. RNAcentral's name for it is "partial 16S ribosomal RNA". It matches the Rfam family "Bacterial small subunit ribosomal RNA", at positions 28 to 507 of the family's 1533-position model. The record is from RNAcentral.
GAUGAACGCUGGCGGCGUGCCUAAUACAUGCAAGUCGAGCGAACAGAUGAGGAGCUUGCUCCUCUGACGUUAGCGGCGGACGGGUGAGUAACACGUGGAUAACCUACCUAUAAGACUGGGAUAACUUCGGGAAACCGGAGCUAAUACCGGAUAAUAUAUUGAACCGCAUGGUUCAAUAGUGAAAGACGGUUUUGCUGUCACUUAUAGAUGGAUCCGCGCCGCAUUAGCUAGUUGGUAAGGUAACGGCUUACCAAGGGAACGAUGCGUAGCCGACCUGAGAGGGUGAUCGGCCACACUGGUACUGAGACACGGUCCAGACUCCUACGGGAGGCAGCAGUAGGGAAUCUUCCGCAAUGGGCGAAAGCCUGACGGAGCAACGCCGCGUGAGUGAUGAAGGUCUUCGGAUCGUAAAACUCUGUUAUUAGGGAAGAACAAAUGUGUAAGUAACUAUGCACGUCUUGACGGUACCUAAUCAGAAAGCCACGGCUAACUACGUG